Molecule: long non-coding RNA, 1117 nt
Filed under: Ursus maritimus (polar bear)
Lineage: Eukaryota; Metazoa; Chordata; Mammalia; Carnivora; Ursidae
Description: lncRNA (ENSUMAG00000011582.1)
Source: RNAcentral
CACUGGCUUUUCCAAGGCAGAGACUGAACUCAUUAAGCAAUGUUAAUUUAAUCACAAGUAAUCAACAGGAAAAAAUAAAAGUUAUAUAACCAUCUUCAAAAUUUGAAAUCAAACAUGGUAAAAUCCCAGGAAAUAGAUUUUUUUAAAACAAAAUUCAUGUCUCAACAUAAAAUGAAUAAAGACAGGAAAAGAAAUGGCCAGAUGUCUACCGAUUUUAGUAUCAGAUAAAAUCAAACCAAAAAUGGGCAUUUCCUCACAAGUAUCCCAUUUAUGACACCGUUCCAAUUCAUGACUUUUUAACGUAGUAAUACAUGAGGUCUGGGAGCUCCUCCUGCCUGAGGGUGCAGAAUACAAAUGCAUUUUCAGGUCCUGAGACAAGGUGGAAAUAAAGCAGGUACGCAAGGAGGGUCACUGACCGUGACACUGAGAGACCUCUCCCCCUUCUAAGCGCCGUGUCGCUGCGGGGCUCGGUCCCCGUUGGCCCCGCGCUUUAGAGACCAAAGCCGCGCUCAGGUCCCCUGGUUCCUGCCCCGCAGAGGAGGGUGUGAACCUGACACAGGUGGGAGCGCUCCAAGCCUGCUUGCUCACCAUCAGACGCCGUCUGACGGGCUCUAGGUCGCGACCAGAACGGAGGUCGCCAAGACCUGUAAGUGGGCAGCACGACACCGCGCAGGUACUGAUGCCGUUUCGGGGAAAGAGACGACGGUCAAGUCUGAAGGUCUCUGCUUUCCACCCACGGAGAAUUCGGUAAAGAAACAAGAGGCUUCCCCAACCAGAAAACUGAAGAUCUAGAGUAUAAAUUUGAAUUCUCCAUACUCCACAAUUUAUGCUUUCUGUCUUGCAAUGAACAUUUUCCCAUAAGAAAAGUAAUGCGUUCUUCCUGGAAAGCUCUUUAUAGAAGUGCACAGUUAAGGGGCGCCUGGGUGGCUCAGUCGUUAAGCGUCUGCCUUCAGCUCAGGGUGUGAUCCCGGCGUGAUGGGAUCGAGCCCCACAUCAGGCUCCUCCGCUAUGAGCCUGCUUCUUCCUCUCCCACUCCCCCUGCUUGUGUUCCCUCUCUCGCUGGCUGUCUCUAUCUCUGUCAAAUAAAUAAAUAAAGUCUUAAAAAAAAAAAAAAAGA